Prunus mume (Japanese apricot) is the source of this 1573-nucleotide non-coding RNA. Lineage: Eukaryota; Viridiplantae; Streptophyta; Magnoliopsida; Rosales; Rosaceae. The record is from RefSeq and is a predicted model, not a curated record.
UCCAACAAUGGAGUUCUUGGACGAGGACGCAAGGCCAAGGUUCCUCUUCCAAUCGAAAGCAGUGGGUUCUUCAGCCACAGACCCAGAACCCCAUUACAAGAAUCUCAACAAACCAUUCAUUGCCUUUACAAUAUUACUCUCAAUUCUAUUACUGGGUCUCUCCUUCUUCUUCCUCCAAUCCGAACCCUACCAAUCUCUCCUCAUCUGGGUUGCUCUCUCCAUCCUCAUCGGCCCCUUCGCUCCCGCUUCAGUCACCGGCGGUGACAUCCGCGUCGGUCACGGCCAAAUCCUCGACCUCCCUGAAAUCAUAACCCAAGUAGAGGAGGAAUCGAAGAAGAGGGUGUCUCAAAAGAGAUCAAAGCCGCGUCGAUUUGAUGAAUUGGGCACAGAUUCGACACCGGUGGCCGAAACUGUUAAUGGGCCUGUGAGAGAAGAGAAAAAGCGUGAGGUUUCCGAAGGUAAUGGUAAUGGGUCUAUGGUGUUUGAUGAAGAGACGGAGUGGGUUGAAGAGGAUGUUGAGUUUUUGAAGAAACUGCUCUUGAAGCACCCGGUAGGGAAGCUGAGACGGUGGGAGGUUAUUUCCGAGUCGUUUCGGGGAAAGCAUAAGGUGGAGAGUGUAAUCAAGAAGGCCAAAGAAUUGGGAGAGAAGAAAGUGACUGAUUCAGAUUCUUAUGCAGAGUUUUUGAAGAAGCGUAAGCCCAAUGACAAGAAAAUCGAGAGUGAGAGUCAAGACUUGGGUGAUGAGUUGGUGGUGGAAAAUGGUGAAGUGAAGAAAGAGAGCAAUGGUGGUGGGGUGAGUUGGGCUUCAACUGAAGACAUUGCAUUGCUCAAUGCCCUGAAGGCGUUUCCCAAGGAUGUGUCGAUGAGGUGGGAGAAGGUUGCAGCUGCUGUGCCUGGGAAGUCGAAGGCGGCUUGUAUAAAGAGAGUUGCCGAGUUGAAGAAGGGUUUUCGGAGCUCCAAGGCUUCAACAGAAGAGUAGAUGAAGCAAGGGAAGAUUGUCUGAUCAAUUUGGAAUUGGAUAUGCAUUUUGCAUUGAGGAGAUCAUGGAACAGUUUGAGAUUGUUUUCAGUCAUGUACAUUGAAAUUCCAGUGACUGAACCCAUUGAGACGAUAUUUGAUUCUUUCUGGAAUCUUCAUAGAACAGAAGGCAGAGAAAUAAGAGAUGUGAAAGCUGAGAGGAAACAAAACAGGGUGACCUUGAUUUUAUCAUACAUCUGGCCAUCUAUAAUUUGGCCUGGGGGAAUUUGUUUCAUGCUCUAUCAAAAGCUCUAUAGACUGGGGUGCUAUGGUUUAUGGCUUAUACACUGAUGCUCUGUGCAAGACUGCUGAAAACUGCCCUUGCCAAAAUCUCAGUUGAUUAUGAUGGAGCAAUUUAUAGUUCAAGCAGGGUUGAGCAAUCCUUUCCAUAUUUGAAGGACUUUCUGUCAGAGAGUUUUGAGGCCUACCAACUUUCUUUGCAAUACUCAUAGAUUCUUAUGUUUGUUUUAUAGUAUUCUUUGAAAAGGUUCUCAAGUGAGGAUUAUUUAUUUAUUUUUUCCUAAUGUUAGAUCAGAUAUGAACAGCUAAAAUACAU